RNAcentral lists this ribosomal RNA (264 nucleotides) under uncultured bacterium. Its description in RNAcentral is "partial 16S ribosomal RNA". It matches the Rfam family "Bacterial small subunit ribosomal RNA", at positions 793 to 1055 of the family's 1533-position model. The record is from RNAcentral.
GUCCACGCCGUAAACGAUGAGUGCUAGGUGCUGCGGGUAUUGACCCCUGCGGUGCCGUAGCUAACGCGUUAAGCACUCCGCCUGGGGAGUACGGCCGCAAGGCUAAAACUCAAAGGAAUUGACGGGGCCCGCACAAGCGGUGGAGCAUGUGGUUCAAUUCGACGCAACGCGCAGAACCUUACCUGGGUUAAAUCCACUCGAAUCUGGCAGAGAUGCCGGGGUGCCUUUCGGGGAACGAGUGAGAAGGUGCUGCAUGGCUGUCGU